GGCACAGACCCAGUUUAUUGCUGUAUUAAAAAAAACCCUCCCGUUGAGGCAGGACCGGCUGCAGACCCAGAAUAAGAACCACUGUAAAAUGGCGAAGCUCCUGCGGCGAAUUUCAGUUGAACUUUGUAAUCUGCUUUUGGCAAAUGUGAGGACUGAGUCAUGGAAUCACCUUUGCUGCUGAUCCCCCUCCACCACAUCGAUGUCUCUUUGCAGAUGCUGUCUGACUUGCUAAGCAUUUCCAGCGUUUUCUGCUUUUAUUCAUAUAACCUCCGAGGGUCUACUGCUGACUGGCUUCAUUCCAGGCUGGAGUGGUUUCUGUAGAUCUACAUUUGCCAAAUAUGACAAGGAAAGAAACAAGGGAAGAAAUAACCAGUGACAGACCAUCUCCUCUAUCUGGACAUCACAUGCAGCAGCAGCAGCAAAACGACUCCAAGUACGAUUCAGGACCAACCUCAUGGUGGAAGCAAAGGGAAGGAGCUGGUGGUGGGAGAGCUGGGAAAUUGGCCCGGCAUUGACGGACUGCACAAAGAGGCUGUCUGAUAUGUGUGGAAUAUUCCAGAGACUUUUAACAAACAAGCUGUCAGACAUGGCCAUAAAAAGAUAGAGACAUUUGCAUGAUCCUAGACACUUACACUGCAAGACAGCACCUUUAAACUCCUAGCUACAGACACUCCACAGUCCUAGACAUAGACACCAUGACAGUCCCAGAUAUAGACGCCCCACAUAGACAUCUCUACACCCUUUGUCACAGAGCACCCCCUCACCACACACCUAGACCUACACAUGCCCACAUACCAAUCCCCCACACUCCGGGGCUAGACACCCACACUCCUAGAAGUAGACAACCCCCACAUGCUCAUAUGCAGACAUCCCAGAUUUCAGGACACAGACACCCCACACUCUGGGACACAAAGAUCCCCAUGUACACCUGGACAUAGAUAGCCACACAGACCCAGGCAGAUAGAUUCACAGUCCUAAACUCAAACAUCUCCUACACUCCUGGACAUACACACCCCUCAUAC
Pristis pectinata (smalltooth sawfish) is the source of this 1022-nucleotide long non-coding RNA. RefSeq lists it as uncharacterized. Lineage: Eukaryota; Metazoa; Chordata; Chondrichthyes; Rhinopristiformes; Pristidae. The transcript has 6 exons. The record is from RefSeq and is a predicted model, not a curated record.